RNAcentral lists this ribosomal RNA (460 nucleotides) under uncultured bacterium. Its description in RNAcentral is "partial 16S ribosomal RNA". It matches the Rfam family "Bacterial small subunit ribosomal RNA", at positions 338 to 795 of the family's 1533-position model. The record is from RNAcentral.
CCUACGGGAGGCAGCAGUGAGGAAUAUUGGUCAAUGGACGAGAGUCUGAACCAGCCAAGUAGCGUGAAGGAUGACUGCCCUAUGGGUUGUAAACUUCUUUUAUAAAGGAAUAAAACGAGGCACGUGUGCCUUUUUGCAUGUACUUUAUGAAUAAGGAUCGGCUAACUCCGUGCCAGCAGCCGCGGUAAUACGGAGGAUCCGAGCGUUAUCCGGAUUUAUUGGGUUUAAAGGGAGCGUAGAUGGGUUGUUAAGUCAGUUGUGAAAGUUUGCGGCUCAACCGUAAAAUUGCAAUUGAUACUGGCAGUCUUGAGUACAGUUGAGGUAGGCGGAAUGUAUGGUGUAGCGGUGAAAUGCUUAGAGAUCAUACAGAACACCGAUUGCGAAGGCAGCUUACCAAUCUAUAUCUGACAUUGAUGCUCGAAAGUGUGGGUAUCAAACAGGAUGAGAUACCCGGGUAGUC